This 415-nucleotide long non-coding RNA is filed under the name Struthio camelus australis. Its description in RNAcentral is "lncRNA (ENSSCUG00000018268.1)". Lineage: Eukaryota; Metazoa; Chordata; Aves; Struthioniformes; Struthionidae. The record is from RNAcentral.
UAGUUUCAUGUUUUGGAUUUGCAUGAGCGUGAAUUAGUGAAAACCUGUAUCCCAUUGUCUCUGACUAAUUCUGGUUAUAUCUUGCAGCUCAGGCUUCUGUUUGCUGGAGAGAUUCUUCUUUCUGCAUUGACGCCUUCUUCUGUGUUGUUCUUCACACUAUUACUUCUGACUCAUAGACUAAAUGUCUAUGAGAACCUGGAAAGACCAGAUGAGUGUGAGAAGACCCUGCUGUCCUACCAUGGGAAGCUAGAAGGAGAAGCUGCCUGGCUUUGACUUUUUGGAGCAAACUCAUUCCCUCGUCCUGGAGUUUGAGGUCAUGGUGUUGCAGCUUGGAGGAAGUCUGGCUGGGAGAUGGGGAUGUUGACAGCACAAGACAUUUAAGCGUCAGAUGACAGUUUCUUGAUCCUGAACCCAG